AAGGACGAAAAGCGGAGGCCGCCCGCCUAUCGGCGAAACGCGCUGGAGGGCCUGCGAGGAGGCUGUUGCCGCCGCAGCAGGACCGAAGCGUCGCGAGCCGAUGGCGGCCGGAGCUAGACAAUUCGAAAAGCGGAGGCCGCAAUGGCCAACUGUCGAUACACAGCGCUUUCGUUUCGUUCGGUUUUGAGGGAAUGAGAAAUUCCUUCAGUUGCUUUGCGUCUGUGCCUGCGUCUGCUAGCAGGUUCAGGGAAGCAAGAUUCCUCGGCACAAAGCCGCAAGGAAGUUUGUUCAAAGAAGUCGCUUUGCGUCUACAAGCGGAUUCGGAGAAGCCGAAUUCCUCGACGCAAACCAGCGAAGAAGCGAAUUCAAAGGAGCUACUUUGCGCCUGCGUCUUCUAGCAGAUUCAAGGAAGAUGGAUUCCUCGACGCAAGACUGCAGAGAAGCAAAUUCAAGAAGCAGUCUCGUUCCUUGAAAACUAGAUAACCGGAAAAGCGGAGGCUCGCGGGUCGCCGCGAUGGGCAAAUGUUCUUCGCCUGCAAGGGUGCUUGCACCCGGAAGGCGAAGGUUAUUUGACCCCGAGCGGCGGCGAGCCGAAGCUAGACAGUAAGGAAGAAGCCGAGAGCGCUGUA
RNAcentral lists this unclassified non-coding RNA (629 nucleotides) under Geobacillus stearothermophilus. RNAcentral's name for it is "16S-23S ribosomal RNA intergenic spacer". The record is from RNAcentral. Lineage: Bacteria; Bacillati; Bacillota; Bacilli; Caryophanales; Anoxybacillaceae.